GUUUGAUACCCCGAAACUACGUGAGCUACUUCAAGACAGCCUAUUAAUAGGGCUAACCCAUCUCUGUGGCAAAAGCGUGGGAAGAACUUUGAGUAGAGGUGACAAACCUACCGAACCUAGUUAUAGCUGGUUGUCCAAGAAAUGAAUAAAAGUUCAGCCUCUAAGCUUCUCCUUUCACCUGAACUUAACCCCUUUAGAUGUAUUAAAGAAACUAAGAAAGUUAGUCAAAGGAGGUACAGCUCCUUUGAAUCAAGACACAACUUUAACAGGCGGGUAAAGAUCAUAAUAACCAAAGCUAGACAUUCUGGUGGGCCUAAAAGCAGCCAUCCCUUAGAAAGCGUUAAAGCUCAAACAUAUUACUUAUACCUUCUUAUCCUGAUCAAUAAAUCUCACCCCCCUAACCAUACUGGACCCUCCCAUGCCCCCAUGGGUGUGAUUAUGCUAAUAUGAGUAAUAAGAGAGCCCGCCUCUCUCCCUGCACACGUGUACCUCGGAACAGACAACCCCGCGACCAUUAACGACCCCAAACAAAGAGGGCAAUAAAUCAUAAACUAAAAUCAAGUAAAACAUUUAAAAAUUAACCGUUAACCCCACACAGGUGUACCCCAAGGAAAGACCUAAAGAAAGAGAAGGAACUCGGCAAACACAUAAAGUCUCGCCUGUUUACCAAAAACAUCGCCUCUUGUACCCCCC
RNAcentral lists this ribosomal RNA (693 nucleotides) under Careproctus rastrinus. RNAcentral describes it as "partial 16S rRNA". The stretch from base 1 to 443 matches the Rfam family "Bacterial large subunit ribosomal RNA", at positions 705 to 1298 of the family's 2925-position model. The record is from RNAcentral. Lineage: Eukaryota; Metazoa; Chordata; Actinopteri; Perciformes; Liparidae.